ACGAACGCUGGCGGCAGGCUUAACACAUGCAAGUCGAGCGCCCCGCAAGGGGAGCGGCAGACGGGUGAGUAACGCGUGGGAAUCUACCCAUCUCUACGGAACAACUCCGGGAAACUGGAGCUAAUACCGUAUACGUCCUUCGGGAGAAAGAUUUAUCGGAGAUGGAUGAGCCCGCGUUGGAUUAGCUAGUUGGUGGGGUAAUGGCCUACCAAGGCGACGAUCCAUAGCUG
RNAcentral lists this ribosomal RNA (230 nucleotides) under Mesorhizobium sp. ISO808_OTU1159. RNAcentral describes it as "partial 16S ribosomal RNA". It matches the Rfam family "Bacterial small subunit ribosomal RNA", at positions 29 to 289 of the family's 1533-position model. The record is from RNAcentral. Lineage: Bacteria; Pseudomonadati; Pseudomonadota; Alphaproteobacteria; Hyphomicrobiales; Phyllobacteriaceae. RNAcentral also lists the same sequence under 13 other names.